UACGUAGGGUGCGAGCGUUGUCCGGAAUUAUUGGGCGUAAAGAGCUCGUAGGCGGCCUGUCGCGUCGGAUGUGAAAGCCCGGGGCUUAACCCCGGGUCUGCAUUCGAUACGGGCAGGCUGGAGUUCGGUAGGGGAGACUGGAAUUCCUGGUGUAGCGGUGAAAUGCGCAGAUAUCAGGAGGAACACCGGUGGCGAAGGCGGGUCUCUGGGCCGAUACUGACGCUGAGGAGCGAAAGCGUGGGGAGCGAACAGG
RNAcentral lists this ribosomal RNA (253 nucleotides) under uncultured bacterium. Its description in RNAcentral is "partial 16S ribosomal RNA". It matches the Rfam family "Bacterial small subunit ribosomal RNA", at positions 524 to 776 of the family's 1533-position model. The record is from RNAcentral.